This 524-nucleotide ribosomal RNA is filed under the name uncultured Diversisporaceae. RNAcentral describes it as "SSU rRNA". It matches the Rfam family "Eukaryotic small subunit ribosomal RNA", at positions 569 to 1092 of the family's 1831-position model. Lineage: Eukaryota; Fungi; Glomeromycota; Glomeromycetes; Diversisporales. The record is from RNAcentral.
AGCAGCCGCGGUAAUUCCAGCUCCAAUAGCGUAUAUUAAAGUUGUUGCAGUUAAAAAGCUCGUAGUUGAACUUCGGGGUUUACCCAUUGGUCAGGCUUAAUUGUCUGUACUGGUGAGAUAAAUCUCUACCUUCUGAGGAACUUUCAUGCCAUUUAUUUGGUGCGAUUGGAAAUCAGGACUAUUACUUUGAAAAAAUUAGAGUGUUUAAAGCAGGCUAACGUCUGAAUAUAUUAGCAUGGAAUAAUGAAAUAGGACGGCUUGGUUCUAUUUCGUUGGUUUCUAGGAUCACCGUAAUGAUUAAUAGGGAUAGUUGGGGGCAUUAGUAUUCAAUUGUCAGAGGUGAAAUUCUUGGAUUUAUUGAAGACUAACUACUGCGAAAGCAUUUGCCAAGGAUGUUUUCAUUAAUCAAGAACGAAAGUUAGGGGAUCGAAGACGAUCAGAUACCGUCGUAGUCUUAACCAUAAACUAUGCCGACUAGGGAUCGGACGAAGUUAAUUUUAUAAUGACGCGUUCGGCACCUUACG